UACGUAGGCAGCGAGCGUUGUUCGGAGUUACUGGGCGUAAAGAGUGCGUAGGCGGUUUUCUAAGUUUGGUGUGAAAUCUCCCGGCUUAACUGGGAGGGUGCGCCGAAGACUGGAAGGCUUGAGUAUGGGAGAGGUAAGCGGAAUUCCUGGUGUAGCGGUGAAAUGCGCAGAUAUCAGGAGGAACACCGGUGGCGAAGGCGGUUCUCUGGGCCUUACCUGACGCUGAGGAGCGAAAGCGUGGGGAGCAAACAGG
RNAcentral lists this ribosomal RNA (253 nucleotides) under uncultured bacterium. RNAcentral describes it as "partial 16S ribosomal RNA". It matches the Rfam family "Bacterial small subunit ribosomal RNA", at positions 524 to 776 of the family's 1533-position model. The record is from RNAcentral.